GUUCUCAUAGAUAUGAAUGAGUAGAUAGGACACGCCCCUUUGAGCUGCAUGCUACAGCGAGGCUAAGCUAGUGGGGGCAAAGUUUCAGUGCAUUCCGUUGAUGUAGACGGCAUGAAAACGGAAACAAGUAUGCAGGCUCACUGUGCUGCAGACAAUUACACACUACGUCGUACGAUUGAGACAAGGAAAUUUGGAAUGACUUUUCAUAGGUUUCCCAGAGACUAUGGGUUGAGGAGGAAUUGGAAGUUUGUCGGCUUAGACCUGGUGUCAUUCCAUCAGUGUUAAACUUCCCGGCUCAUCUUGGAAGAGUACGUGCCAGAAAGACCACGACCAAGCAGCCUUGAGAUCUUAGGCAGUGUCUCCCUGAGGUCCCUCUCUAUCUCCCCACACAUCCACCAACCACUGGAACACAUCUCCAAAGUUCUGCCGGGCCAGCUCAGCUUCCCCUCAGAAGAAGUGCCGCCACCUGCCAGAUGAAGGAGCCUUUUGAGAGGCAGCUGGCAUCGUGAUUGGACUGUACUUUGGUCUGUUCCAAUCCAGCUUCAGCUCCAGAGACGGCAGGCGGGACGAGUCAAUGGAGGCCUGGUGGACGAAGGCAUGCAGCUGAGUACAAUCUAGAAAACAACAGAGGAGGAGUGCAGUGGCUCAGGGCCAGAACAACCAGAGUAGCAUCGUAUGUCUCUUAUUAAACAUCAUAGUAUAGCCUCUGGUAUGAAAAAAUGCCAUCAUAUACAUCGUAUAUUGUACAAAUAACAAGUCAAAGGAAAGAGACAUACAUUGUAGAAUUGUAGUAAUUGUGGGCUGACUGAUUUACUGAUUAUCAGUAUUUUAUUUUUUACUGAUUUACGGUAAUAAAUACAUUUAAAAAGUGUGCUAC
Molecule: long non-coding RNA, 877 nt
Organism: Amphiprion ocellaris (clown anemonefish)
Lineage: Eukaryota; Metazoa; Chordata; Actinopteri; Pomacentridae
Source: Ensembl